GACGGUAUGGACGCCGAUGAAGGAGACGACCAAGAACCAGCACCUAUAGGGAACUGGAAAGCCACCUCGUCAUAUGACAUAUACAUGGUGGACACCCCCAAAGCAGGGGAUGGCGAGGAACAAACGGAGGAUGACCCCUCCAAAAAGCAACCCAAGCGCCAACGUCAGUGGCGCCACUCUAAAUCCCGCCAAAGCAAGAACGGCGAAUCCGGCACCGGAGAUAACAACACGCCGGACAGUGCCGAAGAUAACCCCCUCCAGCAGGAUUCAGUGCAGGAGGACGAAGGAGCCAGCCCUCAGGAGAGAGCGGCCGACAGAGAGGUUGAGGACGACAACUAUAUGCCUCCCUCCGAAGACGAGGCAAGCCUCGACGAC
RNAcentral lists this ribosomal RNA (375 nucleotides) under Triticum aestivum (bread wheat). Its description in RNAcentral is "partial small subunit ribosomal RNA". Lineage: Eukaryota; Viridiplantae; Streptophyta; Magnoliopsida; Poales; Poaceae. The record is from RNAcentral.